CGCCCAGGCUGGAGUGCAGUGGCAAAAUCUUGGAUCACUGCAACUCCGCCUCCCAGGUUCAAGCAAUUCUCCUGCCUCAGACUCCUGAGUAGCUGGGAUUACAGGCACCUGCCACCACGCCCCGCUAAUUUUUGUAUUUUCAAUAGAGACGGGGUUUCGCCAUGUUGGCCUCAAACUGCUGACCUCGUGAUCCGCCCGCCUCAGCUUCCCAAAGUGCUGGAAUUACAGACUUGAGCCACAGCGCCCGGCCCGUUCUUUCUUUAAUUCCUCCUGCUUGCAGCUCAGCAAACGGGGGCAUGUUAUAGCUCAUUUGCUCCCGCAGCCUGUGGCUUGGCUAAUGGGGGAGUGUUAUAGCUCUGCCGUGGGGAGUCCCAAGGUCUGGGCCUCCAGAAGGGUUGCAGCUCCUCACUCCUGUAGUCCAGCGAACGGGAUCAUGUCACAGCUCUUUUCUUUUAUAUAUUUUUUUCUUUCUUUUUUUUUUUUUUUUUUUUUUUGAGGCGGAGUUUUGCUCUUAUUGUCCACGCUGGAGUGUAAUGGCGCGAUCUCCGCUCACUGCAACCUCUGCCUCCUGGGUUCAAGCGAUUCUCCUUCCUCAGCCUCCUGAGUAGCUGGGAUUACAGGCGUCCACCACCAUGCCCGGCUAAUUUUUUGUGAUUUUAGUAGAGAUGGGGUUUCACCAUGUUGGUCAGGCUGGUCUCGAACUCCUGACCUCAGGUGAUCCACCUGCCUUGGCCUCGCAAAGUGCUGGGAUUACAGGCGUGAGCCACUGUGCCAGGUCAUCACAGUUCAUUUCAUUCACACCGCCUGCAGCUCAGUGAGCCUGCGAGGAGCAUAUUACAACUGUUUUAUGCUCCCACCGUUUGUCAGGUGCCAGGUUCUCCUCCCGUGACCAAGAAGAAUGAGAACAUAUCAUUAUAGUCAAAAGAACCCAAAAUGUGAAGAAUCUAAAAGAAACAUUGUUCCAAGAGGAAGAUCAAGAUGGCAGAGGAAGACCACCUCAAGAGAAAUGAAUGCAUGCAGAGGAAAGAGACUACGCGGAGGAACGUGAGAAGAUGAGUGCAUUUAGCAUGAAACCUAUAACAUCUGACCUUUCACCAAGAUCAUAGCCCAACUCAUAGCUGCAUGUUUAAUUGGAUCACUUAACGUCAGUGUAGACACAUCAGUAGAGUGUCUUGGAAUGGCCUUUUUUCUCACAUCCAAGUCAGGAAGUUAAUAGCCCAAAGAGAUGACAUAAUAG
This 1237-nucleotide long non-coding RNA is filed under the name Homo sapiens (human). RNAcentral's name for it is "HSALNT0232137". The record is from RNAcentral. Lineage: Eukaryota; Metazoa; Chordata; Mammalia; Primates; Hominidae.